CUAGGUGAUUCUCUGUGGUCCUGUAAUAGGACCUGGACAUCACUACUAAGCUAGGUGAUUCUCUGUGGUCCUGUAAUAGGACCUGGACAUCACUACUAUGCUAGGUGAUUCUCUGUGGUCCUGUAAUAGGACCUGGACAUCACUACUAAGCUAGGUGAUUCUCUGUGGUCCUGUAAUAGGACCUGGACAUCACUACUAAGCUAGGUGAUUCUCUGUGGUCCUGUAAUAGGACCUGGACAUCACUACUAAGCUAGGUGAUUCUCUGUGGUCCUGUAAUAAGACCAGGACAUCACUACUAAGCUAGGUGAUUCUCUGUGGUCGUGUAAUAGGACCUGGACAUCACUACUAAGCUAGGUGAUUCUCUGUGGUCGUGUAAUAGGACCUGGACAUCACUACUAAGCUAGGUGA
Molecule: long non-coding RNA, 408 nt
Filed under: Salmo salar (Atlantic salmon)
Lineage: Eukaryota; Metazoa; Chordata; Actinopteri; Salmoniformes; Salmonidae
Description: lncRNA (ENSSSAG00000089108.1)
Source: RNAcentral